GGGCCAUGUGAUGAGAAUGCUUUAGUAAUAACUCACGACGGUCGUCUGAGACGCUUUUAAUGUGUCUAUAUUGAUGCAGACAUCAUUCUCUGAUGCCC
This 98-nucleotide small nucleolar RNA is filed under the name Ananas comosus (pineapple). RNAcentral's name for it is "Small nucleolar RNA Z161/Z228". It matches the Rfam family "Small nucleolar RNA Z161/Z228". Rfam says of the family: Z161 and Z228 are members of the C/D class of snoRNA which contain the C (UGAUGA) and D (CUGA) box motifs. Most of the members of the box C/D family function in directing site-specific 2'-O-methylation of substrate RNAs. Lineage: Eukaryota; Viridiplantae; Streptophyta; Magnoliopsida; Poales; Bromeliaceae. The record is from Rfam by way of RNAcentral.